UUUAUUGUUAUUAUUGUCACAUGCAGAUGGGAUGCAUUUAUUUAUAAGUUCUGGGGAUAGGAUACUUUUUUGCCUGUACUUUUUACAUUCCAGAGUUUGUGCUUGACUUCAUCUUGACUAAGACAGAUGAGAAUAUUUCCUAGAAUUUGUUUUUAGUCUUAUUUGGAUCCUGUCACACUGCAGCAUUUUAUUGUCCUCAGCUGUCUGUGAUCCUGGAAACAUACGUGUGACUGAAGCUCCCAAACACCCAAUCUCUGAAGAACUGGAAACUCCCAUAAAAGACAGCCACCUGAUCCCUACGCCUCAAGCCCCCAGUAUUGCCUUUCCACUCGCCAACCCCCCUGUGGCUCCGCACCCUAGAGAAAAGAUUAUAACGAUAGAGGAGACUCAUGAAGAAUUAAAAAAACAGUACAUAUUUCAGUUAUCAUCUCUGAAUCCUCAAGAACGUAUUGACUAUUGUCAUCUGAUUGAG
RNAcentral lists this long non-coding RNA (472 nucleotides) under Homo sapiens (human). Its description in RNAcentral is "non-protein coding lnc-RAB6B-2:1". Lineage: Eukaryota; Metazoa; Chordata; Mammalia; Primates; Hominidae. The record is from RNAcentral.